Molecule: unclassified non-coding RNA, 315 nt
Filed under: air metagenome
Description: partial contains small subunit ribosomal RNA, internal transcribed spacer 1, and 5.8S ribosomal RNA
Rfam family: Eukaryotic small subunit ribosomal RNA (bases 1-46)
Source: RNAcentral
AAGUCGUAACAAGGUUUCCGUAGGUGAACCUGCGGAAGGAUCAUUAUUGAAGUUGCUGAGGUUGCUGCUGGCUCUUCGGAGCAUGUGCACGCCUCUGGCUCUCCAUUUCAUUCACCUGUGCACCUUUUAGUAGUCUCGAGCGAAUUUUUGGCCGUUUCACGACGCGUCAGUUGGAUGUUUGCCUCUCACCCAGGCUCUCCGUCCGAUGGUUCGAGUUCUACGUCUUAUCACAAACUACAACAACCUCAGAAUGUCAACGGUGUGGACCUUUAAACCUAACAAAUACAACUUUCAACAACGGAUCUCUUGGCUCUC